RNAcentral lists this ribosomal RNA (395 nucleotides) under uncultured bacterium. RNAcentral's name for it is "bacterial SSU rRNA". It matches the Rfam family "Bacterial small subunit ribosomal RNA", at positions 30 to 426 of the family's 1533-position model. The record is from RNAcentral.
AUUGAACGCUGGCGGCAUGCCUUACACAUGCAAGUCGAACGGCAGCACGGGAGCAAUCCUGGUGGCGAGUGGCGAACGGGUGAGUAAUAUAUCGGAACGUGCCCAGUCGUGGGGAUAACGUAGCGAAAGCUACGCUAAUACCGCAUACGAUCUAUGGAUGAAAGCGGGGGAUCGCAAGACCUCGCGCGAUUGGAGCGGCCGAUAUCAGAUUAGGUAGUUGGUGAGGUAAAGGCUCACCAAGCCGACGAUCUGUAGCUGGUCUGAGAGGACGACCAGCCACACUGGGACUGAGACACGGCCCAGACUCCUACGGGAGGCAGCAGUGGGGAAUUUUUGGACAAUGGGCGGCAAGCCUGAUCCAGCAAUGCCGCGUGCAGGAUGAAGGCCUCGGUUGU